Long non-coding RNA from Bos taurus (domestic cattle), 1306 nucleotides. The record is from Ensembl. NCBI's taxonomy places the organism in Eukaryota, Metazoa, Chordata, Mammalia, Artiodactyla, Bovidae.
AGUGACUUGCUCAAGAUUACAGUCAGUGAGAGAGCUGAAGUGUGAACCAAGGCAGUCUGCUCUAAAGAAAUGUGUUUAACCAUUGGAUGAAAUGAUAUUUGUCCAAGUACAAGUGCAAGCCCUCCAUAAAGAGUCCCAGGUCCCAGCCGGUCUCAUUCCUACCACCUUGACUUGUCCUGCUUGACCAUCAAUAGCAUGGACCCGAGCUUAAGCACAGCAGCUUGUUUGCGCCGUCUCUUGCGAGCCAUUUUCCUUGUGGAUGCCUUCGGUGAGCUGCAGCAACUCUGCUCAUGGGCACCAUGGGCACAGCACAGGGCAACUGUGACUGUGAAGACUGGUCUGGACCCAAGCUCAGCUAUAGAGUGCCCAGCCAGGGUCACAAAUUGACCUUGUUCUGCAGAUGACUCUCCAUCCCAACCACAGCUUGGAAAGAUUACAUUUGGCUCCUGGCACUAGUGACACUAAAAGUCUUCCGUGAGUGAACUGGAUGCUUCUCAAUCACGAACACAAUGGCUAAAUUAUCUUUCCUCUGGUGGCACCAAGUGACUCAUCUUUUGUUUGGAGCUGGUUACUUCCUGGUGAGAGGAAGUUUCUGUCCUUCUGGUUGCCUUCCUGUCUCUCUUCCUGGUGGGCUGAUGGUAUGGUUAGGGCUGUAAUACUGUCAUAGAACAUCUUUUUGAAUCAAAGACUAAUUUUCCCAGAGAUUGUGGAGUCGAGUAUUUCUAUUUGAGGUAGGAAAGCAAACACGGACCCAUAAAUAGACACUCAUAUGGUCCUUUUCUCCUAUUUCUGUGGCUUUUCAUAAUUUUUACCAGGGACAUAAUGUGGGUAUGACUCAUGAACCUAAAUAUAAUGCGAAUGGAUUCAUAGUAACUUUUCCUGAAACUAAAAAAAAAUCAGUCCCAUCAUAAUCAUGGUAGCUUACUUCACAUGUGGAAAGCUUUAAAAGGUCACUUCCAGAUGAUGUCCUUGGGUUGUUAGAAAGGGAGGGAAAGAUUUAAUGAAACUCUUGAUUCCAAAAAGUUAGGAAUGUUUUGGGCUCCAAAAAAUAUUUAGAGCCAAAUAUUUCAGGACACAAUAGAAUGAGGGAAACAGUUUCUUCUUACAGUCAAGACUUCAAACUCUCCAAUAAAUCAAAGGUAAUGAGCUGGUAACUCCAUGAGGAUGGGAGGGAAAAGAUGCUACAUUUUGGUGAGUUUCAGACAAAUAAAAAUUGAUUCUACUUAUACUCUGAGACCUAGUUUAGGGAGGAUUGAGCUAAUAGGAAAGCACGCUAAUCAGAGAAAGAAUAAGAGGGAACCACAUU